GAUGAAGACGUAGCGAAAUGCGAUACUUGGUGUGAAUUGCAGAAUCCCGUGAACCAUCGAGUCUUUGAACGCAAGUUGCGCCUCAAGCCAUUAGGUUGAGGGCACGUCUGCCUGGGCGUCACAUAUCGUUGCCUGAUGCCAGUUUCCUCGUGAUGGGUGACUGUGCAGGGCGAAUGAUGGCUUCCCGUGAGCAUUGUUGCCUCAUGGUUGGUUGAAAAUUGAGUCCUUGGUAGGGAGCGCCGUGAUAGAUGGUGGUUGAGUGACGAACGAGACCCAAUCAUGUGAGACCCCUACCGAAUUUGGCCUUCAUGACCCACAUGCGUCUUUGGAACGCUCAUGACGAGACCUCAGGUCAGGCGGGGCUACCCGCUGAGUUCAAGCAUAUCAAUAAGCGGAGGA
Molecule: unclassified non-coding RNA, 399 nt
Filed under: soil metagenome
Description: partial contains 5.8S ribosomal RNA, internal transcribed spacer 2, and large subunit ribosomal RNA
Rfam family: 5.8S ribosomal RNA (bases 1-121)
Source: RNAcentral